Molecule: long non-coding RNA, 143 nt
Organism: Sander lucioperca (pikeperch)
Lineage: Eukaryota; Metazoa; Chordata; Actinopteri; Perciformes; Percidae
Exons: 3
Source: RefSeq, a predicted model, not a curated record
UUCAGGAGAAGCCUGCAACUAGUGUCGCGACCACCAUGCGCGAGUAUAAACAGUUACGGCGCUCCCAUGACGUCACACUGGCGCUCGACAGGUCGGCUGUGGCAAGUAUACCCCACGUUUAAGAGAAGUGACACCAGAGAGCU